UCAGUUCGGAUUGAAGGCUGAAAUUCGCCUUCAUGAAGCUGGAAUUGCUAGUAAUCGCGGAUCAGCAUGCCGCGGUGAAUACGUUCCCGGGCCUUGUACACACCGCCCGCCACACCAUGAGAGUCGGGAACACCCGAAGUCCGUAGUCUAACCGCAAGGAGGGCGCGGCCGAAGGUGGGUCCGGUAAUUGGGGUGAAGUCGUAACAAGGUACC
Molecule: ribosomal RNA, 213 nt
Filed under: uncultured bacterium
Lineage: Bacteria
Description: partial 16S ribosomal RNA
Rfam family: Bacterial small subunit ribosomal RNA
Source: RNAcentral